AGCUUGCUUCUCUUGAGAGCGGCGGACGGGUGAGUAAUGCCUAGGAAUCUGCCUGGUAGUGGGGGAUAACGUUCGGAAACGGACGCUAAUACCGCAUACGUCCUACGGGAGAAAGCAGGGGACCUUCGGGCCUUGCGCUAUCAGAUGAGCCUAGGUCGGAUUAGCUAGUUGGUGGGGUAAUGGCUCACCAAGGCGACGAUCCGUAACUGGUCUGAGAGGAUGAUCAGUCACACUGGAACUGAGACACGGUCCAGACUCCUACGGGAGGCAGCAGUGGGGAAUAUUGGACAAUGGGCGAAAGCCUGAUCCAGCCAUGCCGCGUGUGUGAAGAAGGUCUUCGGAUUGUAAAGCACUUUAAGUUGGGAGGAAGGGUUGUAGAUUAAUACUCUGCAAUUUUGACGUUACCGACAGAAUAAGCACCGGCUAACUCUGUGCCAGCAGCCGCGGUAAUACAGAGGGUGCAAGCGUUAAUCGGAAUUACUGGGCGUAAAGCGCGCGUAGGUGGUUUGUUAAGUUGGAUGUGAAAUCCCCGGGCUCAACCUGGGAACUGCAUUCAAAACUGACUGACUAGAGUAUGGUAGAGGGUGGUGGAAUUUCCUGUGUAGCGGUGAAAUGCGUAGAUAUA
This 625-nucleotide ribosomal RNA is filed under the name uncultured bacterium. Its description in RNAcentral is "bacterial SSU rRNA". It matches the Rfam family "Bacterial small subunit ribosomal RNA", at positions 77 to 698 of the family's 1533-position model. The record is from RNAcentral.